Molecule: ribosomal RNA, 442 nt
Filed under: uncultured bacterium
Lineage: Bacteria
Description: partial 16S ribosomal RNA
Rfam family: Bacterial small subunit ribosomal RNA
Source: RNAcentral
CCUACGGGUGGCAGCAGUGGGGAAUAUUGGUCAAUGGGCGCAAGCCUGACCCAGCAACGCCGCGUGAAGGAUGACGGCUCUACGGGUUUUAACCUUCUUUUAGAGGGAAGAGCAGUGGACGGUACCUCUUGAUUAAGCUCCGGCUAACUACGUGCCAGCAGCCGCGGUAAUACGUAGGGAGCGAGCGUUGUCCGGAUUUACUGGGUGUAAAGGGCGUGCUGCCGGGAGUACAAGUCAGAUGUGAAAUCCCGCGGCUCAACCGCGGAACUGCAUUUGAAACUGUAUUUCUUGAGUACUGGAGAGGCAGGCGGAAGUCGUAGUGUAGCGGUGAAAUGCGUAGAUAUUAGGAGGAACACCAGUGGCGAAGGCGGUCUACUGGACAGCAACUGACGGUGAGGCGCGAAAGCGUGGGGAGCAAACAGGAUUAGAUACCCUAGUAGUC